UACGUAGGAGGCGAGCGUUGUCCGGAUUUACUAGGCGUAAAGCGCGCGCAGGCGGCAUGGCAAGUAAGGUGUGAAAAUCUCCCCUGCCUAACGGGGGAGGGUGCAUUUUAGACUGCCAAGCUAGAGGACGGUAGAGGGGGGGUAGAAUUGCGAGUGUAGAGGUGAAAAUUCGUAGAUAUUCGCAGGAACACCAGUGGCGAAGGCGGCUUACUGGUCCAUAACUGACGCUGAGGUGCGAAAGCGUGGGGAGCAAACAGGG
This 259-nucleotide ribosomal RNA is filed under the name uncultured bacterium. Its description in RNAcentral is "partial 16S ribosomal RNA". It matches the Rfam family "Bacterial small subunit ribosomal RNA", at positions 524 to 777 of the family's 1533-position model. The record is from RNAcentral.